GGAGUUUGUCUCUCCGACUUUUUUUUUAUCCCAAUUCUCUCUCUCCGACUACUUUCCUGACGAUCUCGUCGUCUUCAUCCUCUACAAGCUCAGCUCUUCCGCUUCCUUUCCCUCCGAUCUCAUCACGUAAGCAAAACAUUCUUAUCUCUCGUCGUUGCUUCGAACUUCAAAACCUUCGCUUUUCCAGUUUCACUUGCUCCGAUGCUGUUUCGAAUCGGCACUCUUCCAAUACGCCUAGUCAUCGUCGGCUCUACUUCACACCACUACGCCUAGCGCCACCAUCGACUUCUGCCUCCGUCACCGUGACGACGGACCACUCACAUCCCGCCACCUCAAAUUGGGCAGCCGUGGCGGAGAAGCCGCUGCCAAUAUCGGCUGCAGCCUAUUUGAUGUGUACGCAAACAAGACCUUGGACAUGAUUAAGGGUUUUUUAUUUGGGUUUCUGAUUGGUGGUUUUUGCCGGUAUUUUUGCUUCUUUGGCGGCUUUGAUGUUCAAUUGCGUUAAGGACGACAUUGACUAGUCUCCUUUUGAAGAGGAUGAGUGGAGGCAAAGUUACAGAUAAAAUACCUUGGAGAGAAAUGAUCAUGGCACAAGAUUCAUACAUGUCAAGCUCUAUGUCGAAUUAGAGGUAGCAAGAAGGAAGGGUAAAUAUAUUGUUUUGUUGCUUUCCCGUUACGAACUGAACUAUUGAACAAGAAGCUAGGUAGCAGUACAAAACUACAAAUGAUUGAGAUAUAACUCCCAAGCCGAUAAGUAGAACACAAGUCUGUGCAGCCAAAGUUGUUUCCGUGUUUAAAUGAUAAUUUCAAAACGGGUGAGAGCCUUUGGUCUUUCCAUUGCUCUCUACAUGUCUAUCUGCGGCUUUGGUUAAUCUCUCAUUCUUUGUUUAUUUGUUUCAUAAAAGCAUAAACUUGUAUGUUGUAGUUACAGGGCACACUGAAUUUUGAG
This 949-nucleotide long non-coding RNA is filed under the name Rosa chinensis. RNAcentral's name for it is "sRNA RchiOBHm_Chr5g0025441". Lineage: Eukaryota; Viridiplantae; Streptophyta; Magnoliopsida; Rosales; Rosaceae. The record is from RNAcentral.